Mytilus californianus (California mussel) is the source of this 598-nucleotide long non-coding RNA. RefSeq lists it as uncharacterized. The transcript is spliced from 2 exons. NCBI's taxonomy places the organism in Eukaryota, Metazoa, Mollusca, Bivalvia, Mytilida, Mytilidae. The record is from RefSeq and is a predicted model, not a curated record.
UUAGAGAUUAUACAUAGACUGUUAUUCCUUAACAGUUACAAUAUACCACAGUUGAAUGUUACAGAAGCGAACAAGAUACCAGAACUUAUAUUGUACAAUAAAAAUGACGUGGAAAUAUUUAGAUUACCAUUGGACAAAACGACAUAUGAAAAGUUAGAUCAUUUGAUUAAAGAUUUAGGAUUUUACCGCCAGAAAAAGUUCAGUGACAAACUUCCAGCUGAAUAUGAAAACGGACCAGUUCCUCCGCCAGAUGGCAUUUCUAUCGACGAUCUCCUGGUCGGAUUCUCCCUUUGUGGACGCUAUGGAAUAAAAAGUGAAUUAACUGCAGAAUAUUCUUGUGGAAAAUAAACCAACUUAGUAUGACUACAAAAGAAAAAAUACAGCUUGAUACUCAAUGAUAUGUUUAUUGAAACAAUUAAAUUAAAUAUAAACAUGGAUGACUGGUUUCAUGCUGUACUUCAUAAAUAUCAAUAUUAAAAAGUAAAGUUGUGCAUGCACAUUUAAUGUUCAAUAUGGUAAAUAUUUCUAAUACUUUGUUUUUUGUAUAAUUUAAUGUCACGGCGGAGUAAGGACCUUGAAAUAAAUAUACACAGCAGCA